AACAUUUUUAACAGCAGGGUUCCUAUUUUCCCCUUCUUGAUUAAGUGUAUUGAUCACCCUGCAAUCAAUAUUAUGUAUCUGAGUGUGUGUGUGUGUUAUGGGGGAAAGGGGUUCUUUAAAAUUUCUGCGGUUUGUGGCUUUUUCUUCCAUACAUUAGUUCCCACCAUCGCAUGCCCAGGGACCACUGCCUGGCAUCAUCGCACGCUGGGAUCAUUGGGGGAGGGUAGUGAAGCUCACCACUGUCCUUUGUUUUGGAGAUUCUUAUUUUUGCAUAAGUAGUCCAUCCUAUACAGAUAGCUGACUACCUGUAUUUCCCUUUCCUCUAUGGCUGCAGGUGUGAAUAAGCUGCAUCUCCCCAUUGGUAAACAGUAAUAAACAAAAUUUU
Molecule: long non-coding RNA, 385 nt
Organism: Cebus imitator (Panamanian white-faced capuchin)
Lineage: Eukaryota; Metazoa; Chordata; Mammalia; Primates; Cebidae
Exons: 3
Source: RefSeq, a predicted model, not a curated record